CAGUUUGAUUUGAAGUUUGUAUAAACUCUCUUAUAGCAUGUUUGGUUUCACGGGUGGAAUGAUCCGGAUUCCCCUCUAGUUAGAAGCCAUAAGUUUUUGUAGUUUGUAAGUAAUCAUAUAUAAAUUAUGUCAAAUUGUGAAGCCAAACAGACAUUUAGUGAAGGCAGGUAUUCAGAGAAAAGUUCAAUGUUUAUAUAUAGAAAGAUCAAAAUGAAAAGAAUAUCUGUUUACAAUAAGUUUUAUUAAUAUAAAACUCUUUUUAUUCCUCGGA
This 271-nucleotide long non-coding RNA is filed under the name Lotus japonicus. Its description in RNAcentral is "long non-coding RNA (LJAP_LNC001089)". Lineage: Eukaryota; Viridiplantae; Streptophyta; Magnoliopsida; Fabales; Fabaceae. The record is from RNAcentral.